AGCGACAACAAACUCGAAUCCAUAGACAACGGUGUAUUUGAAGGAAUGCCGGAUCUAAAUGAACUGUAUCUGGAAGGCAACCAAUUACGCAACAUUUCCCGGGCGGCGUUUCGGGGCUUGGCAAAACUACGCAGUCUGGGUUUAGGCGAGAUCAAACUCGAAUCCAUAG
Long non-coding RNA from Dreissena polymorpha, 169 nucleotides. RefSeq lists it as uncharacterized. The transcript has 3 exons. Lineage: Eukaryota; Metazoa; Mollusca; Bivalvia; Myida; Dreissenidae. The record is from RefSeq and is a predicted model, not a curated record.